Molecule: non-coding RNA, 258 nt
Organism: Nitzschia inconspicua
Lineage: Eukaryota; Bacillariophyta; Bacillariophyceae; Bacillariales; Bacillariaceae
Source: the annotation of a GenBank genome assembly
CAAUUUGUUGUGGACAGAUCCAAUGCACAUGGGUGUCGAUUCCACCCGCAGUCAAAAUGAGUUUUUCUCCCGCAAUGACAUCGGUGUUGGCACCAACAAUCAUAUUGGGAUCGACAUCGUUCAUCAUGUCGGGAUUGCCUGCCUUGCCAAUACCCACAAUUCGAUUCCCUUUGAUCCCGACAUCGGCCUUGUACAUGCCAAACAGUGCCUUAGAAAAUCAUUUUGCAAGCACUUUCAACGACGUCAUCUCGAAAUUUG